UACGAAGGGUGCAAGCGUUAAUCGGAAUUACUGGGCGUAAAGCGUGCGUAGGUGGUCUUUUAAGUCCGUUGUGAAAGCCCUGGGCUCAACCUGGGAAUGGCAGUGGAUACUGGAAGGCUGGAGUACGGUAGAGGAGGGUGGAAUUCCCGGUGUAGCGGUGAAAUGCGCAGAUAUCAGGAGGAACACCGGUGGCGAAGGCGGAUCUCUGGGCCGAUACUGACGCUGAGGAGCGAAAGCAUGGGGAGCGAACAGG
RNAcentral lists this ribosomal RNA (253 nucleotides) under uncultured bacterium. Its description in RNAcentral is "partial 16S ribosomal RNA". It matches the Rfam family "Bacterial small subunit ribosomal RNA", at positions 524 to 776 of the family's 1533-position model. The record is from RNAcentral.